RNA transcript from Rhinopithecus roxellana (golden snub-nosed monkey), 2916 nucleotides. It is a transcript of the gene named nuclear body protein SP140-like protein, with no coding region annotated. NCBI's taxonomy places the organism in Eukaryota, Metazoa, Chordata, Mammalia, Primates, Cercopithecidae. The transcript has 7 exons. The record is from RefSeq and is a predicted model, not a curated record.
CCCGGGCUCCAGCCAUCCUCCUGCUUCAGCUUCCUGAGUAGCUGGGACCACAGGAUGUUUGCAGCGGUCCAGAAGAAGAAGAUUUCCUGUGAGAUCUUUGUCAAUCACUUCAAGGAAAAUAAGGUGGAGAUAGCAAAUGCAAUAACAAAGCCAUUUCCUUUUCUUGAAAGCCUCAGACACAAUUCUUUUAUCACUGAAAAAAUAUAUACUGAUUCCCAAGAAGCUUGUAUAAACUUGAUUCCUGUACAGAGAGUUGUGUACCAGGCUCUCUGCCACCUGGAGAAGGUGUUUGAUUGUUCAGUUCUGUCAGUCCUGUUCAGCAGGAUUAACUUGAAGGAGUAUCCUGAUUUAAUUGAGGUUCAUAAAAGCUUCAAAAAGGUGCUCCCCUUUUCCCAGAAAAGGGAUGGAAAAGAGACACCAAAAAUGUCCAGCUUUCAGCCAAGCUGUAAACAAGGUCAUAAUGUCUGGAUGAAAGCUUUGUUUUCUGGUCUACUAAGAAGAAAAGGAGACAGGAAACCGAGGUCUGAGGGAAGACUGCACUGCUGGGGAUGGUGGCAGAGCUGGUUGAGGGUCACUUCGUGUUGAUUCCAAAGUGACCUGACUCCAGUUGGAAUCCAAGAGCACUCGCAAGAGGUGGCAAAAACAGACUUUCUCCCCAAUAACCUGGAGGGUAGAGUGAGGAUCUGAGUGUGAAUUACUAGUUUAUAGGAGACCUUCAGUGAGAAGCCAUGAAGGGCUAAGAAGGAUGUGCCUAUGGCCAACAAUGUCAAAGAAGAUACUCCUGGUGAUGCCAGAAGAAGGGGCCGAUUUAAACGGGGGCGUGUUGUUCAGCAGCAGGAAUAUUCAAAGAGAAAGGUAGUCACACAGAAAGACACAGAGAGGAAGUGAUGCUUGUGCUGAGUAGAGGAUGAGGGUAUUUUGAGAGAGAGAGGAGGAAGGAGGGGAAUUGAAAGACAUUGAAGGACAACAGUAAAUAUAACUGUGUUAUGAACAGCUCACUGUGAUUGAAUGCCUGCUGUGUGGCGGCUCUGGGUUUAGUGUUCGUGGCUGCCUUUGGAGAUUAGUAUUAUUUAUGUGCCCAUUUUGCAGAUUAGGAAACUGAAACCCAGAGGGACAAUGUAUGGGGUUGCCUAGAUCAGGUGAGAAAAGAUGAACCCAGAGCCUUUGUUACUUUUUGGGAGGGAAAGAGGUAAAAUUCAGAUGUUAACCAUUUUAAAGUGUGGAAUUCAGUGACAUUUAGUAUAUUCACAAUGUUGUACAACCAUCACCUGUCUGUAGCUUCAAAACAGUUUAAUCAUCCCAAAUGGAAACCCUAUGCCCAUUAACCAAUUAUCUAAUUUCCCUCUGCCCCAAUCGCCGGCAAUCAGUAAUCUACUUUCCGCCUCUACAAAUUUGCCUAUUCCAGACAGUUCAUGUAAAUGGAAUCACACAAUAUGUCGCCUUCUGUGUCUGGGCUUCCUUCACUUAAUAAGAUGUUUCCAGGUUUUUUCCACAUGGUAACAUGAAUUAGUAUCUCAAGUCCUUUUGAUGGCGGAGUAAUAUUCCAUCUUGUCUCUACCGCAUUUUGUUUAUUCAUUCAUUAAUGAAUGGGCUGUUUCUAUCUUUCUGCUACUGUGACGGAAGUUACGUUCUUCUGUUACCCAGGGAAUCUAAUGGAAAAGACAGAAACAGAAACAUGAAACAAAAGUGGGGAAAUACAUGCAGAAAAAAAGAUCCAGGGAAAAAAGAAUGCAAAGAGCUGGAGGGAGUGGAGGUGACCCAAACUCUGAGCCCUCAUGGAAAGGCCAAUGAGAAAGCAUGAACAGAUGUGGAGAGGGAGGAUGUGGUGUAAAAGGGGGUGGGCAUGAGGCAACCAGGACUUUGCAGGAAAUGAGCUAAGGGCCCUGGGCAGGGUAGCUGUGGGGACAAAGGCAGGUUCACUCUGCCAUCGCCAGUUACCAGAAUGUCUCAUGGAGGAUACUCAGUGGGGUUGUCUGGCCAAGACCCUCUCAACCAAGGGUGCAGUGACCCAGUCCCCCACUCUCAGAGCUGGAGUCUCACUUCGAGAAUCAGGGGUCAUCCAUUAUGAAACCAGAACAGAAACCUCUGAGCCUGUCUGGGAUGUGAAGUCAACAUAUAUAUAAAGCCAGAACAUUCUAUCCUUGGCCCAGGUGAUGCUCUUGAAACACAGCAAGCAGACACAAGGACCCAAGUAGUGCCCAGGGAACUCAAGGAUCUCCAAAUAAAAAAGGAGAGAGGGUCAGAAGAGAUGCCCAGUGGAUGGCCACAUGGUAGACAAGGUACUGCAAUUGAAUCUCGCCCUUAAGUGACCAAUUACCUGAUUAGAUCAGGGUGUAGAGGGAGGAAGGGCUUCUCUUCCCCUCUUCCCUCUCUGACAGGAGCUCAACCUCUGGCUGCUUUCAAAUUUGUGAGGGAAGCAAGCAGGAUGAGGCAUGUGAUGUGCCCAGGCUGCAACAUUGUGAGAGGCACUCACUGGCAGGACCCCUAGAGUAUGCGCCCUAAGUCUUCCAGGCAGGAGAGAAAGGAGAGCUGAACGCCUCCCUGGAGCAUGGCACCCUGGGUGGAGAAGCUGAGGAGCACCAGUAUGGAAGAGGUGGACGACUGGGCCAUGGAAUAGCAACUUUUAGGAGUGUGCCCAGUUUUACCUAAGUGGACAUAAUGUCUAAGCUUUCCCAGGUUGGUGGAGGAUUGACAAGGAAAUAAUUUUGUCCUGCUUGCUGGAAGUUGCCACAGGAUCAGGCAAACAAGAAUUCCCUUUUUGGUAAAGUGGCCAUUACUGUCAACUUUUCUCAAGCAAGACAUUCAGGAAUCUUGCCAGGUGCAGUGGCUCAUGCCUGUAAUCCCAACACUUUGGGAGGCCGAGGUGGGCGGAUCACCUGAGGUUGUGAGUUCGAGACCAGCCUGACCAACAUGGAG